Molecule: non-coding RNA, 669 nt
Filed under: Pan troglodytes (chimpanzee)
Lineage: Eukaryota; Metazoa; Chordata; Mammalia; Primates; Hominidae
Source: RNAcentral
AUGCUUAAUUCAAAAAAUAUUUGAGUACCUGCAGUGUUCCCCAUGCUACAUACUGGGCUUAAACAGCCAAAAAGACACAGUCUUUGACCUCAAAAUACUUUGAUUCUUGUAAGAAAAACUGACAAAGACAAAGAGAAGGCAAUGUGAAAACUUCUACAGUUGGGAUAACCUUGGAGGUUACAGGAUGUGGACUCACUGAAAGCUUUCUGCUGGACUUGAAGCUGCAGUCUGAAGGACAGACGGGUGUUGCUUAGUGAAGGGAAAGUAGGAAGCAAAGACCCCUGGACAGAGUGUAGCAGGCACAGAGGGAGCAUGACACCUCCGGGAGAGAGCCGCAAGCACCUGGGCCCAGAUCCCAGCUUUAGCUUCAUUAGCCCUGUGAACUCUGUAUGUCAGCCUUGACAUAGAAAAAAAGAGGAUUCUAAACCUCCAUCUUAAAAGAGACUUGGAAGAAGCUGGGAUUAUAGGCACACCACCACACCUGGCCCCAGAAAAGGGAAUCCUUGACCUGCAAGAAUCGAGGAAUAUUGUUUCUGACAUGCUCAGUGGACCUACUGCUGGUAUUCUUAACCAUUUCCCUCCUAAGUGGAACUUCUUUUGAGGUUAAUGUUUAUAUACAAUUACUUUAACAUUGGAUUUGGGAAAUGGAACAACCUACUGCGGAUCUUU